UGCAUAWYCCCAUAGCGGAGGAAAAGAAACCAACAGGGAUUGCCCCAGUAACGGCGAGUGAAGCGGCAAGAGCUCAAAUUUGAAAUCUGGCCUCCCCCGGGGGCCCGAGUUGUAAUUUGCAGAGGAUGCUUCGGGUGCGGCCACCGUAUAAGUUCCUUGGAACAGGACGUCAGAGAGGGUGAGAAUCCCGUCUUGGGCGGGCGGUCCGCGCCCGUGUGAAGCUCCUUCGACGAGUCGAGUUGUUUGGGAAUGCAGCUCUAAGCGGGUGGUAAAUUUCAUCUAAAGCUAAAUAUUGGCCGGAGACCGAUAGCGCACAAGUAGAGUGAUCGAAAGGUUAAAAGCACCUUGAAAAGGGAGUUAAACAGCACGUGAAAUUGUUGAAAGGGAAGCGCUUGCGGCCAGACUCGGGGGCGGGGUUCAGCGGGUGCUCGUCGCCCGUGUAUUCCUCGUCUCCCGGGCCAGCAUCAGUUUCGACGGCCGGUCAAAGGCCCCCGGAAUGUGUCGUCUCUCGGGACGUCUUAUAGCCGGGGGUGCAAUGCGGCCCGUCGGGACUGAGGAACGCGCUCCGGCUCGGAUGCUGGCKUAAUGGCCGUAASCGGCCCGUCUUGAACCSGAAA
This 617-nucleotide ribosomal RNA is filed under the name Trichophyton interdigitale. Its description in RNAcentral is "eukaryotic LSU rRNA". It matches the Rfam family "Eukaryotic large subunit ribosomal RNA", at positions 37 to 664 of the family's 3401-position model. The record is from RNAcentral. Lineage: Eukaryota; Fungi; Ascomycota; Eurotiomycetes; Onygenales; Arthrodermataceae.